UUGAUCAAAGGUUGCUGAAUAAUGGAAUGAUUUUUUUUUUUCAUAUUUCAGGUUCUCAGAGGUAUGAGAAAAUUUCAGCAUCAUGGAAUCUCAGCUGUUUAGUACACUCAUUUGAUCAAUUAUUUGCACUCUGUCUGGAAGACUGAAUGGGGAUACAAGAUUUAUAGGACCCUGACAAAAAGGAAACAAGGCAAUAAGCAUAUAUUAAGAUUGCACUAUGUGCCAGGUUUUGUGGCAAAGGCUAGGGAACAAAUACAAGCUAAAAGGAAAGUCCUUGCCCUCGAGGAGCUUACAGUGAGAUGGCAGUGGAGGCACACAACAGGCUUUUGGAGAAAGCAUUGGAACCAGUUGUAGCAGUGAGCAUAGAGGUCAGGGACCUCGGAUUUCCCAGAGAUCCAUGCAGACUAAUCCAGUCAUCAUUUAGAAGACUCUCUGCAUGGAAUUAGUAAAAGUCAGCAG
This 459-nucleotide long non-coding RNA is filed under the name Monodelphis domestica (gray short-tailed opossum). RNAcentral describes it as "lncRNA (ENSMODG00000045439.1)". Lineage: Eukaryota; Metazoa; Chordata; Mammalia; Didelphimorphia; Didelphidae. The record is from RNAcentral.